AGAGUUUGAUCAUGGCUCAGAACGAACGCUGGCGGCGUGGAUAAGACAUGCAAGUCGAGCGAGAUUUUUUCCUGUAGCAAUACAGGGAAAAGUCUAGCGGCGAACGGGUGCUUAACACGUGGGCAACCUGCCGAGAAGUGGGGGAUAGCUCGCCGAAAGGCGAAUUAAUACCGCAUGUGAUUAGAGAGGACAUCCUUUCGAAAUUAAAGUCGGGGCAACCUGACGCUUUUUGUGGGGCCCGCGGCCUAUCAGCUAGUUGGUGAGGUAACGGCUCACCAAGGCUUUGACGGGUAGCUGGUCUGAGAGGACGACCAGCCACACUGGGACUGAGACACGGCCCAGACACCUACGGGUGGCAGCAGUCGAGAAUUUUUCUCAAUGGGGGAAACCCUGAAGGAGCGACGCCGCGUGGAGGAUGAAGGUCUUCGGAUUGUAAACUUCUGUCAUUGGGGAACAAGGUGCAUACGUUAACUGCGUGUGCAUUGAUAGUACCCGAAGAGGAAGAGACGGCUAACUCUGUGCCAGCAGCCGCGGUAAUACAGAGGUCUCAAGCGUUGUUCGGAUUCAUUGGGCGUAAAGGGUGCGUAGGCGGCGCGGUAAGUCGGGUGUGAAAUCUUGGAGCUUAACUCCGAAACUGCAUUCGAUACUGCCGUGCUUGAGGACUGGAGAGGAGACUGGAAUUUACGGUGUAGCGGUGAAAUGCGUAGAUAUCGUAAGGAAGACCAGUGGCGAAGGCGGGUCUCUGGACAGUUCCUGACGCUGAGGCACGAAGGCCAGGGGAGCAAACGGGAUUAGAUACCCCAGUAGUCC
RNAcentral lists this ribosomal RNA (810 nucleotides) under uncultured bacterium. RNAcentral describes it as "bacterial SSU rRNA". It matches the Rfam family "Bacterial small subunit ribosomal RNA", at positions 8 to 796 of the family's 1533-position model. The record is from RNAcentral.